GUACUUCUGAGGAGUCCCACAAUAGGACGAAACGGCCGUUCAGUGC
This 46-nucleotide non-coding RNA is filed under the name Schistosoma mansoni. Lineage: Eukaryota; Metazoa; Platyhelminthes; Trematoda; Strigeidida; Schistosomatidae. The record is from RNAcentral.